GCAUUUCAGUCUCUACCUGAUAUCUCAAAAGCUAUUUCAGAACUCACUGUCUUGAAAGGCGUUGGUCCAGCUACGGCCUCUGCAGUUCUGGCUGCUUUUGCACCGGAUAUUGCACCUUUUAUGUCGGAUGAAGUAAUUUUAUCAUUACCUUCUUGCUAUGGAAAACUCUAUUUGAUUCUCUGCGAUUUGAUGAUUGAAGUGUAAUUAGAUGAUUGAUUUAUGUGAAAAUGCUGUUGUUCUUAGGCAAUGGUGGCUGCAAAUGGUAACUCGAAAGACUAUACUCUGAAGCAGUAUCUAGUUUUAGUGGACAAAUUGCAGGCAAAAUCCAAGGUUAGCUAGACUUCCGCAGUUCUGGCUGCUUUCGCACCGGAUAUUGCACCUUUUAUGUUGGAUGAAGUAAUUUUACCAUUACUUUCUUGCUGUGGAAAACUCUAUUUGAUUCUCUGCAAUUUGAUGAUUGAAGUGUAGUUAGAUGAUUGAUUUAUGUGAAAAUGCUCUUGUUCUUAGGCAAUGGUAGCUGCAAAU
Molecule: long non-coding RNA, 525 nt
Filed under: Nicotiana benthamiana
Lineage: Eukaryota; Viridiplantae; Streptophyta; Magnoliopsida; Solanales; Solanaceae
Description: long non-coding RNA (NBEN_LNC016412)
Source: RNAcentral